AGUAACACGUGAGUAACCUGCCCCCUUCUUCGGGAUAAGCGCUUGAAAGGGUGUCUAAUACUGGGUAUUCUGCCUGCCUCGCAUGGGGUGGGUUGGAAAGCUUUUGUGGUGGGGGAUGGGCUCGCGGCUUAUCAGCUUGUUGGUGGGGUAAUGGCUUACCAAGGCUUUGACGGGUAACCGGCCUGAGAGGGUGGUCGGUCACAUUGGGACUGAGAUACGGCCCAGACUCCUACGGGAGGCAGCAGUGGGGAAUAUUGCACAAUGGGCGAAAGCCUGAUGCAGCGACGCCGCGUGAGGGAUGAAGGCCUUCGGGUUGUAAACCUUUUUCGCUCUUGACCAAGGACAUGAUUGGUCAUGUUUGAGGGUAUGGGGUAAAGAAGCACCGGCUAACUACGUGCCAGUAGCCGCGGUAAUACGUAGGGUGCGAGCGUUGUCCGGAAUUAUUGGGCGUAAAGGGCUUGUAUGUGGCGUGUCGCGUCUGGUCGUGAAAUGCCUCGGCUUAACCGGGGCAGUGCGGUGGGUACGGGCCAUGCUUGAGUGUGGUAAGGGAGAUUGGAAUUCCUGGUGUAGCGGUGGAAUGCGCAGAUAUCAGGAGGAACACCGGUGGCGAAGGCGGAUCUCUGGGCCAUUACUUACGCUGAGGAGCGAAAGCGUGGGGAGCGAACAGGAUUAGAUACCCUGGUAGUCCACGCUGUAAACGUUGGGCACUAGGUGUGGAGACUGUUGUGGUUUCUGCGCCGUAGCUAACGCAUUAAGUGCCCCGCCUGGGGAGUACGGCCGCAAGGCUAAAACUCAAAGGAAUUGACGGGGGCCCGCACAAGCGGCGGAGCAUGCGGAUUAAUUCGAGGCAACGCGA
Molecule: ribosomal RNA, 856 nt
Filed under: uncultured bacterium
Lineage: Bacteria
Description: bacterial SSU rRNA
Rfam family: Bacterial small subunit ribosomal RNA
Source: RNAcentral